GGGAAGUGGGCGGGGUGCUAUACAUGCAGUCGAACGAACUCUGGUAUUGAUUGGUGCUUGCAUCAUGAUUUACAUUUGAGUGAGUGGCGAACUGGUGAGUAACACGUGGGAAACCUGCCCAGAAGCGGGGGAUAACACCUGGAAACAGAUGCUAAUACCGCAUAACAACUUGGACCGCAUGGUCCGAGCUUGAAAGAUGGCUUCGGCUAUCACUUUUGGAUGGUCCCGCGGCGUAUUAGCUAGAUGGUGGGGUAACGGCUCACCAUGGCAAUGAUACGUAGCCGACCUGAGAGGGUAAUCGGCCACAUUGGGACUGAGACACGGCCCAAACUCCUACGGGAGGCAGCAGUAGGGAAUCUUCCACAAUGGACGAAAGUCUGAUGGAGCAACGCCGCGUGAGUGAAGAAGGGUUUCGGCUCGUAAAACUCUGUUGUUAAAGAAGAACAUAUCUGAGAGUAACUGUUCAGGUAUUGACGGUAUUUAACCAGAAAGCCACGGCUAACUACGUGCCAGCAGCCGCGGUAAUACGUAGGUGGCAAGCGUUGUCCGGAUUUAUUGGGCGUAAAGCGAGCGCAGGCGGUUUUUUAAGUCUGAUGUGAAAGCCUUCGGCUCAACCGAAGAAGUGCAUCGGAAACUGGGAAACUUGAGUGCAGAAGAGGACAGUGGAACUCCAUGUGUAGCGGUGAAAUGCGUAGAUAUAUGGAAGAACACCAGUGGCGAAGGCGGCUGUCUGGUCUGUAACUGACGCUGAGGCUCGAAAGUAUGGGUAGCAAACAGGAUUAGAUACCCUGGUAGUCCAUACCGUAAACGAUGAAUGCUAAGUGUUGGAGGGUUUCCGCCCUUCAGUGCUGCAGCUAACGCAUUAAGCAUUCCGCCUGGGGAGUACGGCCGCAAGGCUGAAACUCAAAGGAAUUGACGGGGGCCCGCACAAGCGGUGGAGCAUGUGGUUUAAUUCGAAGCUACGCGAAGAACCUUACCAGGUCUUGACAUACUAUGCAAAUCUAAGAGAUUAGACGUUUCCCUUUCGGGGACAUGGAUACAGUGGUGCAUGGUUGUCGUCAGCUCGUGUCGUGAGAUGUGGGUUAAGUCCCGCAACGAGCGCAACCUAUAUCAGUGGCAGCAUAGUAGGCACUCUGGUGAACUGCGGUGACCAGCGAAGGAGUGGAUGACGUCGAAUCAUCAUGCCCCUAUGGCACCUGGGCUUAACACACACGU
RNAcentral lists this ribosomal RNA (1215 nucleotides) under Lactiplantibacillus plantarum. RNAcentral describes it as "bacterial SSU rRNA". It matches the Rfam family "Bacterial small subunit ribosomal RNA", at positions 30 to 1223 of the family's 1533-position model. The record is from RNAcentral. Lineage: Bacteria; Bacillati; Bacillota; Bacilli; Lactobacillales; Lactobacillaceae.